Molecule: long non-coding RNA, 1049 nt
Filed under: Zea mays
Lineage: Eukaryota; Viridiplantae; Streptophyta; Magnoliopsida; Poales; Poaceae
Description: long non-coding RNA (ZMAY_LNC002001)
Source: RNAcentral
CUAAUUGGCCGGAAGGGAAAAAGAAUUUCCAUAUAUAUAGAUAGAUAGAUAACAGAGGAAGAAAAAAUAGGACAGAUGCACAGACCAUGUCGAUGGGGUCCAUGUCAGUGUCCUAGAAAAACCUAACAAUUAGGCCAUGUUGGCAGACAGCAAGAUGGUGAUGUCACCGACGCAAAUUAUACUAGUCAAAGCGCACCACGCCGUGUUUGAAUUUCCGGGAGAAGUCUCCUAGCAUUAUCCUCCCAUUGCAGGUUGGGUUCCACAGCUAGAGCUAGCUGUGUUCCUGUGUGUAUAUAUAUACCCCGUGCCCCUCGCAGCGGCCCUGGCAAAGGUCGUGGAAGAGAGGAAGCAGCGAGAGGAGCCGAGGAAGAAUAUAUCCAUCCUAACAUCCACCCACCCACACACCAGACACACAUACCUUAUUCUCCGCCGUUUCUUGGCCUCCGGAAAUCUCCUCCCCCAAGUUGCAAGCAUGGGCGGGUUCAGCCUCAGCGGCGCUACAGGUCUCGCGGCGUACCGCGAGGAAGACGACGAGGAGCUGUUCGAGACGUCGUCUUCGAUCUCCGGCGACUCCGACGAUGAGGGCCACCAGCUCUCCGAUGGAGAGGGGGGCGCCUAUGAUUUGUCAUCUGUGAUGGCACAGCUCCCUGUCAAGUAAGUCGUCCGGCUUCUCUUUCUUCUAACGGACAUCAAAACUGAAAGGGGGGAAGUUCUCAACUCUUUUGUUGUCGUCCUCUCCAGGAAAGGGCUAUCCAGAUACUACGACGGCAAGUCCCAGUCCUUCGCGUGCAUGUCUGAAGUGCGAUGCCUGGAAGAUCUGCGCAAGAAAGAGACGCCCUACAAGAAGAUCAAGACAUCAAGGAGUAGCGUCGCGUUAGACGAAGAGCAGGACUGUCAUACGCCGGGUCGUACGAACAGCAGCAGAGCGCCCGGAAGUUGUUGCGCAAACCUGGUGGCUCGGAACAACGGCAAAAACAUGCUGUACAGACCUCCCCCAGUCCCUGUAAACAAAAGUGGAUACCGUCAGUAGGCUCUAGGACAUUACUGGA